RNAcentral lists this long non-coding RNA (478 nucleotides) under Mytilus galloprovincialis (Mediterranean mussel). The record is from RNAcentral. Lineage: Eukaryota; Metazoa; Mollusca; Bivalvia; Mytilida; Mytilidae.
UGGGGGGGCUAGGAUGAAAAAUUUUGUCCUGCAUUUUUUUUAGCUGUAAUCUCUGUCCUGCCUUUUUAUUUUUCACUCUAAUCGGUCCUGCCUUUUUUUUUUUUAGUUCAUCCUGACUUUUUUUUACCUAAAUUGUCGUCCUGACUUUUUUUUUUGCAAGUGUGACAUCCUGCCUUUUUUUUUUUACUCAAAACUCCUGUCCUGCCUAUUUUUUUCAAAUUUCAUCCUAGCCCCCCCAUAAAAAUCAAAUGGUAGCUCCCUAACGAUAGUUGAAAAUUACCAUUUGGCGCAUGACGGUAAAAGGCAUUUCAACCAUCUUGAAAGAUUUCUAGGAUCAUUUAUUACAACACGGGCCCGUAAAUGUAAAGACGAAUAUAUAUAUAUGCUUUAUAUUUUCAUUGCAUUGGAAGAUAUUUGUUGUUUUAUAUUUCUAAUUGAUCUCACUAGGCCGUCAUAAAACAAUGUAUAGUAACAGAAC